Molecule: non-coding RNA, 91 nt
Organism: Ixodes scapularis (black-legged tick)
Lineage: Eukaryota; Metazoa; Arthropoda; Arachnida; Ixodida; Ixodidae
Source: Rfam
CCGUCGAUAGUUCAGUUGGUAGAGCGGGGGACGGAAGACGAACUCCAAAGUUGAUAUCCAUAGAUCGCUGGUUCAAAUCCGGCUCGACGGA